GUCACUCCUUAGCUAGACCAACCAACAGCGACCAGCAGCUCCCAAAAGGCUGUAUUUCUGUGACGAUCCCUGAUAACACAGGGCACAAUCCUCAAACGGCUAGAAUCCAAUAGUUAAUCCAAAAAAAAAAAACAACCACACCAAAAACAAAAACCCUGAAUCUCGCCUACCCAUCCUUAAGAGGGCGACUUCACCUCCUCUUCAACAGACGUGGCAGCACAAAAAAAGACAGAGCCAUGCCACCAGCUGUCAAGGGUGUAAACAGCGCCAUUCCUGCCACCAUCCUAGACAGUCUCCAGCGCCGAAGGAACCGGGCGGAAGGAACUGGGCAUCGAACCACCCCGAGCCGCAAGCGGUGUUUAUUUCUGGAGCAGAUGCUAGCGAUCUGGGCCACCCAAAGCGCGCGUGCAGGAGAGACAGCGGUCACCUGGAUCGCACCAACGGAAGUCAGUACCAAGACACAAAAUGCAACCUGUCACAGCGAGGAGCAAGGCUGGCAGCAGAACGAUGGCUGCGGCAGCCAAGUCCCAGAGGGCGCCGCGCGCCGCCAGGUACAAAGGAGCAGUUGGCAUUGCUGAAAGACAUCAUGGCCUUCCCAGCAGCCUCGAUCGGUAUUUCUCAAGUUUCCACGUGUGAACAGAGCACCUAGGGAUCUCAGGAAAACGCACACUCUGACUCAGUCAUGGCGAGGUGAGGUCUGAGAAGGUGCCUUCCCCACAAGCUCCUGGUGGUGCCGGAUGCCGGGUCCUCGGAGGCGCACAGAUCCAGAGAGCUCAUUACCAUCAAAACGGGUAAAAAUGGUCCAUGGGGCCUUUGGAUGAACAUGGCGCCGAAAGCGAAGAAGGAAGCCCUGCCCCUCUCAAAGCCGAAGCCAAAGCAAAGGCUUUGAAGGCAAAGAGAGCCGAGCUGAAAGGCGUCCACAGCCACACAAAAAAGAAGAUCCGCAGUCACCCAUCUUCCGAGGCCAAAGACUAAGGCUCCGAAGGCAGCCAGGUAUCCCCGGAAGAGCUGCGCGCCGGAGAAACAGGCCUGCCCACUGUGCCAUCAUCACCUUCCCCCUGACCACCGCGUCCACCAUGGCGAAGAGAGAUGACAAUCACACACGUGUGUUCCCUGUGGGUGUCAAGGCCAAGGAGCACCAGGGCCAACAGGCGGUGAGGAAGCUCUAUGACACUGCGGCGGCCAAGGUCGGCACCCUGAUCAGGCCGGAUGGCGAGAAGAAGGCGUGUUUGGCUCCUGGCUAAGAUGCUUUGGAUGUUGCCUACAAGAUUGGCACCAUCUAUCCAACUGGCUAAUUUUACAGAUAAAAGUUUACACUGGAAAAAAAUACAAUUGAAAUCAAAGAACGUUAUGCCUCAUUCAUCAAUGUGUAAAGAACUACAACCUAAAGUUGUCUUUGUACAAUCUAGUGUUCGCUCACCAACAUGUUGCAAUAUGUCUAUGACAAUAAUGUACCAGAUCCAUUUUCAAACUAUUUUGAAACUUCCAAGGUACAAUUAAUCUAAUACCAUGGUCAGUGAAGAAUGUGGCCUCUCAAAAUUAAAUAUGUUAAAACCAACGCAAAGUCCUUAACACCAUAAGAAAGAUGACCAAUCGGGUGAUCCUUUCUACAACAUAUGAGCUAUUUU
Myotis davidii is the source of this 1628-nucleotide long non-coding RNA. RefSeq lists it as uncharacterized. The record is from RefSeq and is a predicted model, not a curated record. Lineage: Eukaryota; Metazoa; Chordata; Mammalia; Chiroptera; Vespertilionidae. The transcript has 2 exons.